UUGUUGGUGGGGUAAUGGCCUACCAAGGCGACGAUCAGUAGCGGGUCUGAGAGGAUGAUCCGCCACACUGGAACUGAGACACGGUCCAGACUCCUACGGGAGGCAGCAGUGGGGAAUUUUGGACAAUGGGGGCAACCCUGAUCCAGCCAUUCCGCGUGAGUGAAGAAGGCCUUCGGGUUGUAAAGCUCUUUCAGCUGGAACGAAACGGUACGCCUUAAUACGGUGUGCUAAUGACGGUACCAGCAGAAGAAGCACCGGCUAACUACGUGCCAGCAGCCGCGGUAAUACGUAGGGUGCGAGCGUUAAUCGGAAUUACUGGGCGUAAAGCGUGCGCAGGCGGAUUGUUAAGCAAGAUGUGAAAUCCCCGGGCUUAACCUGGGAAUGGCAUUUUGAACUGGCAGUCUAGAGUGUGUCAGAGGGGGGUGGAAUUCCACGUGUAGCAGUGAAAUGCGUAGAUAUGUGGAGGAACACCAAUGGCGAAGGCAGCCCCCUGGGAUAACACUGACGCUCAUGUACGAAAGCGUGGGUAGCAAACAGGAUUAGAUACCCUGGUAGUCCACGCCCUAAACGAUGUCAACUGGUUGUUGGGGGAGUGAAAUCCCUUAGUAACGAAGCUAACGCGUGAAGUUGACCGCCUGGGGAGUACGGUCGCAAGAUUAAAACUCAAAGGAAUUGACGGGGACCCGCACAAGCGGUGGAUGAUGUGGAUUAAUUCGAUGCAACGCGAAAAACCUUACCUACCCUUGACAUGUCCAGAAUCCUGCAGAGAUGCGGGAGUGCCCGAAAGGGAAUYGGAACACAGGUGCUGCAUGGCUGUCGUCAGCUCGUGUCGUGAGAUGUUGGGUUAAGUCCCGCAACGAGCGCAACCCUUAUCAUUAGUUGCUACGCAAGGGCACUCUAAUGAGACUGCCGG
Molecule: ribosomal RNA, 913 nt
Filed under: uncultured bacterium
Lineage: Bacteria
Description: bacterial SSU rRNA
Rfam family: Bacterial small subunit ribosomal RNA
Source: RNAcentral